This 327-nucleotide ribosomal RNA is filed under the name uncultured bacterium. RNAcentral describes it as "bacterial SSU rRNA". It matches the Rfam family "Bacterial small subunit ribosomal RNA", at positions 28 to 334 of the family's 1533-position model. The record is from RNAcentral.
GACGAACGCUGACGGCGUGCUUAACACAUGCAAGUCGAACGGACAGACAGAGAGCUUGCUCUCUUGAAGUUAGUGGCGAACGGGUGAGUAACGCGUAAUCAACCUGCCCUUCAGAGGGGGAUAACAACGGGAAACCGUUGCUAAUACCGCGUACGAUUCAUAAGCGGCAUCGCUUGUGAAUGAAAGGUGGCCUCUAUUUAUAAGCUAUCGCUGAAGGAGGGGAUUGCGUCUGAUUAGCUAGUUGGAGGGGUAACGGCCCACCAAGGCAAUGAUCAGUAGCCGGUCUGAGAGGAUGAACGGCCACAUUGGGACUGAGACACGGCCCAA